Molecule: non-coding RNA, 93 nt
Organism: Aedes aegypti (yellow fever mosquito)
Lineage: Eukaryota; Metazoa; Arthropoda; Insecta; Diptera; Culicidae
Source: Rfam
UGCCCAGCAACUCCUAUCCCUACCCCCUCGUGGUACUGGCCGGGGUACGAGUAAUCUUAGGGAAGAUCUUUGGUCGUAUGCUGACAGAGAAGG